CAUUAACAAUUGGUGGGGCUUAUGUCACAGA
RNAcentral lists this non-coding RNA (31 nucleotides) under Homo sapiens (human). Lineage: Eukaryota; Metazoa; Chordata; Mammalia; Primates; Hominidae. The record is from RNAcentral.